UACGAAGGGUGCAAGCGUUGUCCGGAUUUAUUGGGCGUAAAGCGUUUCGUAGGCGUUUUCGUAAGUCAUACUUCAAAGACCACGACUCAAUCGUGGAAAGGGGUGUGAUACUGCGAGGAUUUGAAUUACGUAGGGGCUACUGGAACUUAACAUGUAGGAGUGAAAUCCGUUGAUAUGUUAAGGAACACCGAGGGCGUAAGCAGGUAGCUGGGCGUAUAUUGACGCUGAUGAACGAAAGCCAGGGGAGCGAAACGG
RNAcentral lists this unclassified non-coding RNA (255 nucleotides) under uncultured Patescibacteria group bacterium. RNAcentral's name for it is "contains 16S-23S intergenic spacer region". It matches the Rfam family "Bacterial small subunit ribosomal RNA", at positions 524 to 776 of the family's 1533-position model. The record is from RNAcentral.